RNAcentral lists this long non-coding RNA (1046 nucleotides) under Equus caballus (horse). Its description in RNAcentral is "lncRNA (ENSECAG00000042659.2)". Lineage: Eukaryota; Metazoa; Chordata; Mammalia; Perissodactyla; Equidae. The record is from RNAcentral.
CUUUAUUCAACCUAGCACUUCCCAAACUUAUUUAACUUCAGUUCUUUUUUUUUUUUAUUCCUGUGAUCUUUCUUUCCUGUUCUACAAAACUAGCAUUCCACAGAACACACUUUGGAGUGAUAACAUAGACAUGAGAAAACUGAAGAAUCUGCUGAGUAACAAGUUGGAUCAAGAUCUAUUUGAAUCUAAAACGAACAGGGGUUAAGUUCUUCAAGGGAAUGCUCAAAGAAUCCUGUACACUGAGAGUCAGGAGCUGAAUGUGGAAUUGGCAUCAUCUCCCAUAUCUCACACGGGGGAGGUGCUCUGAAGAGCGACGGCAGAAGGCUGAGAAUUACAGGUUCAACUGAUUUAGGAAAACAAAUGAAACCUUGGUUUUUGCUGCUAAAAUUCUCGUUUGCUAGACUAAAACAUUUUCUAUCAACUUUUUAUUUGGUAGAUAAAAUGCACAUAUGAAAAACAGUACUUUUUAAUGUCGUCUUAAAGAUUAGAUGCUCAUAGGUGUAAAUAGAGGUUUCAGUCCUUUCAUCGUUGCUGUGCAACUAUGGGGAAGCCUAGAGGGAUUUCAGGAUGGGUUUUCAUUUUGUCUGAGGUUGGUUAGUAACUGUGAAAAAGUAACUCUCCAAGCAAGAUCUGAUAUAAUUACGUGGUCUGAAUCCUUUUGACAUCUUUAGUGGGGGCACUGGACAUGUCAUUUGGAAGGAAGGAUGACACAAGAGUGAACAGAGGGAAUAAAGAAGAGAUCAUCUAGGACCCAGAUAGAAAGAUGACGUCACACAGGGAAGAGGCCAUCUGAGGACACAACCAGAAGGAGGUCCUCUACAAGCCAGGAAGACAGCCUUCUCCAGAAAUCAACCUGAUGGCACCUUGAUCUUUGACUUCCAGCCACCAGAACUCUGAGAAAAUGAAUUUCUGUUGUUUGAACCACCUGGUCUGUUGUAUUUCAUUAUGGCAGCCCAAGCAGAGUAAUACAGAAGGCCAGGCCCCUAGAUCCUGGAAAAGUCUUGCUCUUUGCUGAGGUGCCUGUUAAAAUUUAAUGUAUUCAUGAG